GCCCCUCGCCCCUCAAAGGCUGCAAUGACUCAGUCCUGUACCCUUCCAUAGCCAGGCUCAUGGCUGCCAGGGGCUUCCGAGCUUGCUUUUCUCUGGGACUCUACUGCUUUCUGCACAGAAGACCCAGCACUCACCCCAGACCAGCCCUGAAGAUAGUCUACUGACUUUAGAGGAAAGAGCUCCCGAGAGCACAAGUCCCCCUCCAGUGACACUGCCUGGGGUUCUUCCCAUAGGCAUCCUACAUGACCACUGUGCAGCUGGCUUCUAUUAGCUCAGAAGCAGCAAUGGGGACAUGCUGCGAUGGUUCUCACCCUUUCCAAUGUGCCUUCUGGUGUUUUCUAUCGUCGAAUUUCUGUUUACAUUUGAAAGAAGCCCAAGACAGAACCUAUUCCUGUUAUUGGAGGGGUCUGUGAAGCCAUCUAUGAGCACACUCCGGGAGGAUGCCUGGAAAGUCUCUCCGACCCGGUUGUUCAGUUCGUAGUAGGCAACAGAGCACCAGUGCAGGGGCUCCUCGUAGCAAACUGGCCGGAAGUCUGAAAGAAAACACGAGAGAAGAUGCCACACCCACAGGAAGCAGAGGCGGUCUCUUUAAACCAGAAAGCUAACUGUAGGACCUUUGCAGUCCUUCAGACUCCCGUGUUUGAGGAAAGCUACCUUGGGCUAGCUCAUUUGUUUACUGCAUCCAUGAGUUUAAGGCCAUGGUCCUUGUUAAUCUCCGCUGUGAGGGCAUCUGCAAACACUCUUGUUUACAGGUGCGAUGAUGGAAGGGCCCUGGGGAAAGACAGUGUGGGCAGAUUGAUGUAAAAUGUUGCCAUUCCCAGGGUAAUCACAGCUAAGAAAGAAGUGGCAGGUCACCUCAUCUAGAGAAAAAGAUGGCAUCCUGCUGUUACAGAACUGAACUGAACUGAACUGAACUGAACCCAGUGUCAAAAGCUUUAAUUUUGCAAUAUAAUUCUGCAAUAAAGUAAUGACAAGAA
Molecule: long non-coding RNA, 977 nt
Organism: Rattus norvegicus (Norway rat)
Lineage: Eukaryota; Metazoa; Chordata; Mammalia; Rodentia; Muridae
Source: RefSeq, a predicted model, not a curated record